RNAcentral lists this ribosomal RNA (388 nucleotides) under uncultured eukaryote. Its description in RNAcentral is "partial 18S ribosomal RNA". It matches the Rfam family "Eukaryotic small subunit ribosomal RNA", at positions 592 to 976 of the family's 1831-position model. The record is from RNAcentral.
CAAGAGCGUAUAUUAAAGUUGUUGCAGUUAAAAAGCUCGUAGUUGGAUUUCUGGUACAAUGCGCCUGGCCCGCGACCGUUAGGUCUGUGAGUGCCGGUGCGCGUUUGCCAUCCUUCUAGAAAACGUUUCUACCCUUCACUGGGCCGGACUCGCGAUCUAGAUCUUUUACUUUGAAAAAAUUAGAGUGUUUAAAGCAGGCUUUUGCUGUGAAUACAUUAGCAUGGAAUAAUAAUCUAGGACUUCGGUUCUAUUUUGUUGGUUUCUAGUACUGAAGUAAUGAUUGAUAGGGAUAGUUGGGGGUGCUAGUAUUGGCCGGCCAGAGGUGAAAUUCUUGGAUUCGGUCAAGACUAACUUAUGCGAAAGCAUUCACCAAGGAUGUCUUCUUUAA